RNAcentral lists this unclassified non-coding RNA (214 nucleotides) under Hevea brasiliensis (rubber tree). Lineage: Eukaryota; Viridiplantae; Streptophyta; Magnoliopsida; Malpighiales; Euphorbiaceae. The record is from RNAcentral.
CGCGCUUUCAACCCCACCCCCAAAACGAUCGUCUCUGAAAACCCAAUCGCAUUUCAAUACUUACCCUCUUUGGAAAGACAAGUUGAGGGAGAACUGUUACAAAAGGGUGCGCGAGGACAGGAAUCGCUUGCUUUGGAAAAUGAGGUUGCCCACUGCUAAAUCUCUCGGUGACAAGGAUUUUAUCAAAUCUGCUUUCCAAAACAUAGUUUCCGAU